UCAGUUAUCGAAGCCGUUUCGAGGAGGGCCCCAAGUUGACCGAGACUGAAGUCCGAAGUGCGCUGCGCGGGCACCUGCUUGCAACCCUGGCCGGUGCGAAAGGGGUCGUGGACGAGCUUUGGGUGCCGCUCUCUAACGAGCGUGCCGACGUCGCAGUGAUCGGCCGUUGGAUGGAUGGGUUCGAGAUCAAGACUGAGCGCGACACGCUGAAACGGCUGCCUCGGCAGAUGGGCGCGUACGGGCGCCUUUUCGACCGAUGCACAGCAGUCAUUGCCGAGCGUCACCGGCAGCAUGCCGAGGAGGUCCUUCCCAAAUGGUGGGGCCUCAGGACCGU
Molecule: unclassified non-coding RNA, 334 nt
Filed under: uncultured fungus
Lineage: Eukaryota; Fungi
Description: sequence contains ITS1
Source: RNAcentral